CAGCUAGGCCCCUCUUCUGUAGGGUUGCUGCAGUUUGCUGGGGGUCUACUCCAGACCCUAUUCACCUGGAUCCCUCCUGCACCUGGAAGUGUCACCAGUGGAGGCUGUAGAACACCAAAGAUGGCUGCCUGAUCCUUCCUCUGGGAGCUCAAUCUCAGAGGGACACCAACCUGAUGCUGGUGGGAACGCUCCCGUAUAAGAUUCCUGACAACCCAUGUUGGGGGAUCUCACCCAGUCAGGAGGCUUGGGAUCCGAGGCCUGCUUAAAGAAGCAGUCUGGCUGCCCCUUGGUGGAGUGGGUGCACUGCACUGGAGGGACUCCUCUUUGUCCAAACUGCCCAGCCUCUUCAGAACCAGCAGGCAGGAAAGAUUAUGUCUACUGAGUUGUGGAGAUCACAGCUGCCCAUCCCCCUAAGGACUCCAUUCCAGGGAGAUCAGAGUUCUGUUUGUAAACCUCUGGCUGGAGUUGCUGAAAUUCCCACAGGGAGGCCCUGCCCAUUGACGGGGAAUGGAUCUGGGUCCCACCUAAAGCAGCAGUCUAGCCAUGAUCUGCCACAGCCACUGUGCUGUGCUGUGGGAAAUUCCUCCUGGUUCAAACUACCCAGUCUUCCCCGCACCAGCAGAGGAAAACGGCAGACUGGAGCUGCAGUGAUGGUGGCCGCCCCUCCCCCUAGGUACUCAGUUGUCUUAGGCAGUCUCUAGCCAGCUGCCACUAGCUGCAACCUGAGCAUCUGGACAGCUCUGUACUUGGGACCCAAGGCUCUGGUGGUUUGGGCUCAUGAGGGGAUUUCCUGAUCUGUGAGUUGCACAGAUCUGUGGAAAAAACAUGGUUUUCCAGGCAGGUAGCACAAUCAGUCACUGCCUCCCUUGGCUGGGGAUGGGAGCUCCUCUUGCCCCAUGGUGCUCCUGAGUGGUCCAUCGCUCCACCCUGCUUUUCCCGACUCUCCAUGGGUUGUGCCAACCACCUAGUCAGUCUCAAUGAGAGAACCUGGGUACCUCAGCUGAAGGUGCAGGAUUCACUCACCAUUUUCAUUCUUCUCAGUGGGAGCCACCAAUGGCAGCUGCUUCUAGUAGGCCAUCUUUCCACUUUGCUGGUAAUUUUUUUAACAACCAAGUGAAUAUGCCAAAUGGUAACUUGGAUCCACAGAAAAAGCAAAGAGAACCAGUAAAGGUAAAGAUAAUUAUAUAAUGGUAAGACUAUAAAUGCAUUUUUCCUUAACAUGAAUGAAUUAAACAGUUUAUUAAAAAGGCAGAGAUUGUCAGAAAACCUGUGUAAAAACAAGCAAACAAACAAAAACAAAAAAUAAGACCCAACUAUAUGCUGUCCACAGGAGAUACACCUUUUAUUCAAAGAUACAAAUAGACUGACAGUAAAAGGAUGAGAAAAGGUACAUCAUUCAAACAGCAGCCACAAGAAAGCUGGAGUGGCUAUACUAAUCUCAUACAAAAUAGACAUAACAAAAAAUUCCUAGAGACAUUUUAUAACUAUAGAAGGGUCAAUCUAUCAGGAAAAGCUAACAAUUACAAAUAUGUAUGCACCCAACAACAAAACACUACAAUACACAAAGCACACAACUGACAGAAAUAAGAGUUGGAGACUUCAAUGUCUCACUUUCUAUAAUGAAUAACCAAGCAGAAAAUCAACUAGGAAAUAAAAGAUAUAACAUUAUAAACAACUAGACCUAACAAACAUCUAUAAAACACUCCACACAACAAGAAAGUAUACAUUCUUCUCAACUGCACAUAGAACAUUCUCUAGAACACACCACCAUAUGCUAGGCUAUAAAGCAAACCUCUCUAAAUUUAAAAGGAUAUAAUACAUAAAUUAUGUUCUCCUACACAAUAGAAUGAAAUUAGGAAUUGAUAUAGUUUGAAUUUUUGUUCACUCCAAAACUCAUACUAAAAGUUAAUUCCCAUUUUGAAGGUGUCGGGAGGUGGGAACUUUAAGAGGUGUUUGGGUCAUGAGGGUUAUGUGCUCAUUAAUGGGUUAAUGCCAUUAUCACAGAAAUGUGUUCAUUAUCACAGGAGGAGUACUGUUAUAAAAGGGCAGGUCUGGCCUCCCCUUGCUCUCUCUUGCCUUUCCACCUCCCACCAUGGGAUGAUGCAGCACAAGGGUCCUGCCAGAUGCUGCCCCCUCAUUCUUCGAUUUCCCAGCCUCCAGAGCUGUGCUAAAUAAAUUUCUGUUCAUUAUUAAAUACCCAGUCUUAAGUAUUUUGUUAUAGCAGGACAAAUUGGAAUAAGACAGAAAUCAACAGGAAAAAAUUUGGAAAACUCCCAAGCAUAUGGAAAUUGAGCAGCACUCUACUAAAUAACCAAUGGAUCAGAGGAAAACAAAAGGGAAAUAAAAAAAUACCCUGACAUAAAUGAAAAUGAAGACACAACAUAUCAAAAUUUAUGGAAUGAAGCUGAAGCAGUGUUAAAUGUCUAGCUGCACAUGCGUAUAAUAAGAAAGAAGAAAAAUUUCAAAUCAUUAACCUAGUUUUAUCCUGGAAAAAGAAGAGUAAACUAAACCUAAAGAAAGCAGAAGAAAGAAAAGAUAAAUAUUAGAAUGGAAAUUAAUGAAACAGAUAUUGAAAAGCACAAGAGAAAAACAAUAAAACCAAAAACUGAAAAGAUUUUUAAAAAUUAACAAAACUGUAGCUAGGCUAAGAAAAAAGAGAAGACUCAAAUUACUAGAAUCAGAAAUAAAAAAGGGCAUUACUACAGAUCUUACAGAAAUAACAAAGGAUGAUAAAGAAGUAGUAUGAACAAUCGCAUGCCAAUACAUUAGGUAACUUAGAUGAAAUGGAUACAUUCCUAGAAAGACACAAACUACCAAACCCCACUUAAGAUCAGGCAAUCUGAACAGACUUAUAACAAGCAAAAAUACUGAAUAAGCAGUAAAACACCAUACCCACCCAGAC
This 2902-nucleotide long non-coding RNA is filed under the name Homo sapiens (human). Its description in RNAcentral is "non-protein coding lnc-DIP2A-6:1". The record is from RNAcentral. Lineage: Eukaryota; Metazoa; Chordata; Mammalia; Primates; Hominidae.